Long non-coding RNA from Anopheles merus, 163 nucleotides. RefSeq lists it as uncharacterized. The transcript is spliced from 3 exons. The record is from RefSeq and is a predicted model, not a curated record. NCBI's taxonomy places the organism in Eukaryota, Metazoa, Arthropoda, Insecta, Diptera, Culicidae.
GUGAAAUCAAGUUUGCAAGCAGAAGGACGCGUCGAUGCGUGCUCGUUUUUUUCUCUCUUGAAACCAGUACGGAAAAACUAUUUGAAAUCGUAACACACGCACGCACGCGGAAGUGAGCACGGACCACGAUAGAAGCAAUAUUCAAUUGGUUGGAGUGCCGAAA